This 463-nucleotide ribosomal RNA is filed under the name uncultured bacterium. RNAcentral's name for it is "bacterial SSU rRNA". It matches the Rfam family "Bacterial small subunit ribosomal RNA", at positions 917 to 1382 of the family's 1533-position model. The record is from RNAcentral.
GGGCCCGCACAAGCAGCGGAGCAUGUGGUUUAAUUCGAAGCAACGCGAAGAACCUUACCAGGUCUUGACAUCUAUUGACCGUCUGAGAGAUCAGAUUUUCCCUUCGGGGACAAUAAGACAGAUGGUGCAUGGUUGUCGUCAGCUCGUGUCGUGAGAUGUUGGGUUAAGUCCCGCAACGAGCGCAACCCUUAUGUUUAGUUGCCAUCAUUGAGUUGGGCACUCUAAACAGACUGCCCGUGAAAGCGGGAGGAAGGUGGGGAUGACGUCAAAUCAUCAUGCCUCUUACGACCUGGGCUACACACGUGCUACAAUGGUCUGUACAAAGGGUAGCCAAGCAGUGAUGCGGAGCCAAUCUCAUAAAACAGACCUCAGUUCGGAUUGCAGGCUGCAACUCGCCUGCAUGAAGUCGGAGUUGCUAGUAAUCGCGAAUCAGAACGUCGCGGUGAAUGCGUUCCCGGGCCUU